AGUUAAUGAACUUGAAAUAAGUAUGUACUUUGAAAGUAUAAAAUAGAAAUAAUAUUUUCUAUUAACUU
This 68-nucleotide transfer RNA is filed under the name Pselaphinae sp. 4 EF-2015. RNAcentral's name for it is "tRNA-Ser". Lineage: Eukaryota; Metazoa; Arthropoda; Insecta; Coleoptera; Staphylinidae. The record is from RNAcentral.